Molecule: ribosomal RNA, 468 nt
Filed under: uncultured bacterium
Lineage: Bacteria
Description: partial 16S ribosomal RNA
Rfam family: Bacterial small subunit ribosomal RNA
Source: RNAcentral
GACGAACGCUGGCGGCGUGCUUAACACAUGCAAGUCGAACGGCAAGGCCCUGCUUUUGUGGGGUGCUCGAGUGGCGAACGGGUGAGUAACACGUGAGUAACCUGCCCUUGCCUUUGGGAUGACUUCAGGAAACUGGGGCUAAUACCGGAUAGGAGCUCCUGCUGCAUGGUGGGGGUUGGAAAUUUUCGGCGGUUGGGGAUGGACUCGCGGCUUAUCAGCUUGUUGGUUGGGUAGGGGCUUACCAAGGCUUUGACGGGUAGCCGGCCUGAGAGGGUGGACGGCGACCUUAGGACUGCGGUAGGCCCCAGACGCGAACGGUAGGCAGCAGUGGGGAACAUGGCACAAUGGGCCGACGUCUGAUGAAGAAACGUCGCGUGCGGGAUGACGGCCUUCGGGUUGUGAAAAGCUUUCGCCUGUGACGAAGCGUGAGUGACGGUAAUGAGUAAAGAAGCACCGGCUAACUACGUG